AGAGUUUGAUCCUGGCUCAGAACGAACGCUGGCGGCGCGCCUAACACAUGCAAGUCGAACGGACCAGUGCGGAGCACUGGGAAUAUCGAAAUUCGAAACUCUAAAUUCUAAGCAAGGUAGUUUAUUAGGAUUUCGGAAUUCUGAUUUGGUGCUUCCAGUGCUUCGCACUGGUUAGUGGCGGACGGGUGAGUAACACGUAGGUAACCAACCCUAAAGCGGGGGACAACCCAGGGAAACUUGGGCUAAUACCGCAUAAGACCACGACCUGGAAGGGAUGUGGUAAAAGGAGCAAUCCACUUUAGGAUGGGCCUGCGGCCUAUCAGGUAGUUGGCGGGGUAAAGGCCCACCAAGCCUAAGACGGGUAGCCGGACUGAGAGGUUGAACGGCCACACUGGAACUGAGACACGGUCCAGACUCCUACGGGAGGCAGCAGUGGGGAAUUUUGCGCAAUGGGGGAAACCCUGACGCAGCGACGCCGCGUGGAGGAUGAAGGUUUUCGGGUUGUAAACUCCUUUUGCAGGGGAAGAUAAUGACGGUACCCUGCGAAUAAGCCACGGCUAACUCUGUGCCAGCAGCCGCGGUAAGACAGAGGUGGCAAGCGUUGUUCGGAAUUACUGGGCUUAAAGGGCGCGUAGGUGUCCCGGCAAGUCAGAUGUGGAAUCUUUUCGCUUAACGGAAAAAUUGCAUUUGAAACUGUCGGGAUUGAGUCAGACAGGGGAUGGCGGAAUUCCUGGUGUAGCGGUGAAAUGCGUAGAUAUCAGGAGGAAGGCCGGUGGCGAAGGCGGCCAUCUGGGUCUGAACUGACACUGAGGCGCGAAAGCGUGGGUAGCAAACAGGAUUAGAUACCCUGGUAGUCCACGCCCUAAACGGUGGGUACUAGGUGUGGGGCUCGCAAGGGUUCUGUGCCGAAGGGAAACCAUUAAGUACCCCGCCUGGGAGUACGGCCGCAAGGUUGAAACUCAAAGGAAUUGACGGGGGCCCGCACAAGCGGUGGAGCAUGUGGUUUAACUCGACGCAACGCGAAGAACCUUACCUGGGCUUGACAUGUUAGUAGUAGGGAAAUGAAAGUGGACCGAUUCGUAGCAACACGAAAGCUAACACAGGUGCUGCAUGGCUGUCGUCAGCUCGUGCCGUGAGGUGUUGGGUUAAGUCCCGCAACGAGCGCAACCCUUAUCCUCUGUUACCUCGCAAGAGGGUCUCUGAGGAAACUGCCGGCGAUGAGCUGGAGGAAGGUGGGGAUGACGUCAAGUCAUCAUGGCCCUUAUGUCCAGGGCAACACACGUGCUACAAUGGCUACUACAGAGGGAUGCAAGACCGCGAGGUGGAGCCAAUCCCUAAAAGUAGUCGUAGUUGGGAUCGGAGUCUGCAACUCGACUCCGUGAACCUGGAAUCGCUAGUAAUCGCGGAUCAGAACGCCGCGGUGAAUACGUUCCCGGGCCUUGUACACACCGCCCGUCACACCACGAAAGCCUGUUGUACCCGAAGUCAGUGAGCUAACCUGCAAGGGAUGCAGGUGCCUAAGGUAUGGCAGGGGAUUGGGGUGAAGUCGUAACAAGGUA
This 1559-nucleotide ribosomal RNA is filed under the name uncultured bacterium. RNAcentral describes it as "bacterial SSU rRNA". It matches the Rfam family "Bacterial small subunit ribosomal RNA". The record is from RNAcentral.